RNAcentral lists this ribosomal RNA (190 nucleotides) under uncultured bacterium. RNAcentral's name for it is "partial 16S ribosomal RNA". It matches the Rfam family "Bacterial small subunit ribosomal RNA", at positions 337 to 524 of the family's 1533-position model. The record is from RNAcentral.
UCCUACGGGAGGCAGCAGUGAGGAAUAUUGGGCAAUGCCCGCAAGGGUGACCCAGCAACGCCGCGUGGAGGAUGAAGGCCGUAAGGUUGUAAAUUCCUGUUAGAGGGGAAGAACACUACCGAUUGGAUCGGUAUUUGACUGUACCCUCAGAGAAAGCCCCGGCUAACUACGUGCCAGCAGCCGCGGUAAU